UACGUAGGUGGCAAGCGUUGUCCGGAAUUAUUGGGCGUAAAGGGCGCGUAGGCGGUCCCUUAAGUCAGAUGUGAAAUCCCGAGGCUUAACCUCGGGCGUGCAUUUGAAACUGGGGGACUAGAGUGCAGGAGAGGUAAGUGGAAUUCCUAGUGUAGCGGUGAAAUGCGUAGAUAUUAGGAGGAACACCAGUGGCGAAGGCGACUUACUGGACUGUAACUGACGCUGAGGCGCGAAAGCGUGGGGAGCAAAC
This 250-nucleotide ribosomal RNA is filed under the name uncultured bacterium. Its description in RNAcentral is "partial 16S ribosomal RNA". It matches the Rfam family "Bacterial small subunit ribosomal RNA", at positions 524 to 773 of the family's 1533-position model. The record is from RNAcentral.